This 513-nucleotide ribosomal RNA is filed under the name uncultured bacterium. Its description in RNAcentral is "bacterial SSU rRNA". It matches the Rfam family "Bacterial small subunit ribosomal RNA", at positions 15 to 518 of the family's 1533-position model. The record is from RNAcentral.
GAUUCUGGCUCAGGAUGAACGCUAGCUACAGGCUUAACACAUGCAAGUCAGGGGCAGCAUUGGGAUAGCUGCUAUUCAGAUGGCGACCGGCGCACGGGUGAGUAACGCGUAUCCAACCUUCCUGCCAGUAGGGAACAGCCCGGCGAAAGUCGGAUUAAUGCCCUAUGUUCUUCAAUGCGGACAUCUAAGUUGAAGGAAAGAUUCAUCGCUGGCAGAUGGGGAUGCGUCCGAUUAGCUUGCCGGCGGGGUAACGGCCCACCGGGGCGACGAUCGGUAGGGGUUCUGAGAGGAAGGUCCCCCACACUGGUACUGAGACACGGACCAGACUCCUACGGGAGGCAGCAGUGAGGAAUAUUGGUCAAUGGGCGUAAGCCUGAACCAGCCAAGUAGCGUGCAAGGGAUGACGGCCCUACGGGUUGUAAACUGCUUUUAUGCGGGGAUAAAGUGCGGCACGUGUGCCGCUUUGCAGGUACCGCAUGAAUAAGGACCGGCUAAUUCCGUGCCAGCCGCCGC